AAUCAGAAAAGAAGGAGUAGGUAUCUCCUCACCUUUUUCUCAUUUGCUUCUUUUUUUCUAUUUUUCUUCUUCUUCUCUUUCUCUAUUUUGUUCUCUCUAUUCUUUUUUCAAAACAAAAAAGCGGGUGUCCCGUAUUCGAAUUUAGCCUACAAAGUGGACACCUUUGAUAUUUCACAAAAUUCCAUUGGUUCUCCCGCCUGUAGUGCGGGUGAAAUACAAGGGGAAAGAGAAUUACAACAAGGUUCUUGUCCCUUUACGGUGCCCUCAGAGGUGGAUAAAAAGGAUGAUCCCUGUGAUCCCACCCUUUGUAAUUACCAAACAACGAUCUCCACCCCAUGUGAAAAUGCCAUUACCAAAUAUUGCAAAAACUAUUAUCGGAUUGAUGAGAAUGCGUGUGCGGAUUUUAAUGAUCUGAU
RNAcentral lists this non-coding RNA (416 nucleotides) under Fragilariopsis kerguelensis. Lineage: Eukaryota; Bacillariophyta; Bacillariophyceae; Bacillariales; Bacillariaceae. The record is from RNAcentral.